CCUACGGGAGGCAGCAGUGGGGAAUAUUGCACAAUGGGGGAAACCCUGAUGCAGCGACGCCGCGUGAGUGAAGAAGUAUUUCGGUACGUAAAGCUCUAUCAGCAGGGAAGAAAAUGACGGUACCUGACUAAGAAGCCCCGGCUAACUACGUGCCAGCAGCCGCGGUAAUACGUAGGGGGCAAGCGUUAUCCGGAUUUACUGGGUGUAAAGGGAGCGUAGACGGCAGCGCAAGUCUGGAGUGAAAUCCCAUGGCUUAACCAUGGAACUGCUUUGGAAACUGUGCAGCUAGAGUGCAGGAGAGGUAAGCGGAAUUCCUAGUGUAGCGGUGAAAUGCGUAGAUAUUAGGAGGAACACCAGUGGCGAAGGCGGCUUACUGGACUGUAACUGACGUUGAGGCUCGAAAGCGUGGGGAGCAAACAGGAUUAAAUACCCCUGUAGUC
This 440-nucleotide ribosomal RNA is filed under the name uncultured bacterium. RNAcentral's name for it is "partial 16S ribosomal RNA". It matches the Rfam family "Bacterial small subunit ribosomal RNA", at positions 338 to 795 of the family's 1533-position model. The record is from RNAcentral.